GACGAACGCUGGCGGCGUGCCUAACACAUGCAAGUGGAGCGACGAACCGGGCUUCGGCCCGGGGCAAAGCCGCGAACGGGUGAGUAACACGUGGGUAACCUGCCCCGAUGAUUGGGACAACCCGAGGAAACUCGGGCUAAUACCGAAUGUGCCCUCCGACCAUAAGGUCGCUGGGGAAAGGAAGCUUCGGCCUCCGCAUCGGGAUGGGCCCGCGGCGCAUUAGCUUGUUGGUGAGGUAACGGCUCACCAAGGCGACGAUGCGUAGCUGGUCUGAGAGGACGAUCAGCCACACUGGGACUGAGACACGGCCCAGACUCCUACGGGAGGCAGCAGUGGGGAAUCUUGCGCAAUGCGCGAAAGCGUGACGCAGCAACGCCGCGUGGGGGAAGACGGCCUUCGGGUUGUAAACCCCUUUCAGUUGGGACGAAGCUCAGGCGGUGAAUAGCCGUGCGGAGUGACGGUACCUUCAGAAGAAGCCCCGGCUAACUACGUGCCAGCCGCCGCCGUAACAC
RNAcentral lists this ribosomal RNA (512 nucleotides) under uncultured bacterium. Its description in RNAcentral is "bacterial SSU rRNA". It matches the Rfam family "Bacterial small subunit ribosomal RNA", at positions 28 to 526 of the family's 1533-position model. The record is from RNAcentral.